This 253-nucleotide ribosomal RNA is filed under the name uncultured bacterium. Its description in RNAcentral is "partial 16S ribosomal RNA". It matches the Rfam family "Bacterial small subunit ribosomal RNA", at positions 524 to 776 of the family's 1533-position model. The record is from RNAcentral.
UACGAAGGGUGCAAGCGUUACUCGGAAUUACUGGGCGUAAAGCGUGCGCAGGCGGUUCGUUAAGUCAGAUGUGAAAGCCCCGGGCUCAACCUGGGAACUGCAUUUGAAACUGGCGGGCUUGAGUAUGGCAGAGGGGGGUGGAAUUCCGCGUGUAGCAGUGAAAUGCGUAGAGAUGCGGAGGAACACCGAUGGCGAAGGCAGCCCCCUGGGCCAAUACUGACGCUCAGGCACGAAAGCGUGGGGAGCAAACAGG